UACAGGGGGUGCAAACGUUGCUCGGAAUCAUUGGGCGUAAAGCGCUCGUAGGCGGUUCGUUAUGUCGGAUGUGAAAGCCCUUGGCUUAACCGAGGAAGUGCAUCCGAAACUGGCGAGCUAGAGUACUAAAGAGGAUCGCGGAAUUCCCGGUGUAGAGGUGAAAUUCGUAGAUAUCGGGAGGAACACCGGUGGCGAAGGCGGCGAUCUGGGUAGAUACUGACGCUGAGGUGCGAAAGCGUGGGGAGCAAACAGG
This 253-nucleotide ribosomal RNA is filed under the name uncultured bacterium. RNAcentral's name for it is "partial 16S ribosomal RNA". It matches the Rfam family "Bacterial small subunit ribosomal RNA", at positions 524 to 776 of the family's 1533-position model. The record is from RNAcentral.